RNAcentral lists this ribosomal RNA (253 nucleotides) under uncultured bacterium. RNAcentral describes it as "partial 16S ribosomal RNA". It matches the Rfam family "Bacterial small subunit ribosomal RNA", at positions 524 to 776 of the family's 1533-position model. The record is from RNAcentral.
UACGUAGGGGGCAAGCGUUGUCCGGAUUUAUUGGGCGUAAAGAGCGUGUAGGCGGCCAGGUAGGUCCGUUGUGAAAACUCGAGGCUCAACCUCGAGACGUCGAUGGAAACCCUCUGGCUAGAGUCCGGAAGAGGAGAGUGGAAUUCCUGGUGUAGCGGUGAAAUGCGCAGAUAUCAGGAAGAACACCGGUGGCGAAGGCGGCAUCCUGGACCGGUAUUGACGCUGAGGCGCGAAAGCCAGGGGAGCAAACGGG